UGCCCAGGCGGCAGACUUCUCCGGUACACGGAUGAUGGCAGGGGUGCCGGCGGCAGCGAGGGCGCGAAUGCAGGAGAGAGCCUCGGAGAUGCCUCCGGGGCCAUGCUCCAUGUCGACCACAACAAAGUCGUAGCCAGCGAGGCCGGCGAUCUCAGCGAUUGUGGGGGAGGCGCUCAUUAGGAAGAGGCCGUAGAGGGUCUCGCCUGAGGCCACUCGGGACUUGAGAGUUGUGUUUGCUCUGCUUCUCAGAAUGGGGGCAGGAGAUAGGACAGCUUGGGUGGAUUCGAGGAGGAAGGGAGCCAUUGCUAUCAGGUAUUGGAUGGGGAUGGGGAGGAGAAGGCUAAG
RNAcentral lists this unclassified non-coding RNA (345 nucleotides) under Hevea brasiliensis (rubber tree). The record is from RNAcentral. Lineage: Eukaryota; Viridiplantae; Streptophyta; Magnoliopsida; Malpighiales; Euphorbiaceae.